RNAcentral lists this ribosomal RNA (483 nucleotides) under uncultured bacterium. RNAcentral's name for it is "bacterial SSU rRNA". It matches the Rfam family "Bacterial small subunit ribosomal RNA", at positions 27 to 507 of the family's 1533-position model. The record is from RNAcentral.
GAUUGAACGCUGGCGGAAUGCUUUACACAUGCAAGGUCGAACGGUAGAGGGGGCAACCCCUCGAGAGUGGCGAACGGGUGAGUAAUAUAUCGGAACGUGCCCAGUCGGUGGGGGAUAACGUAGCGAAAGUUACGCUAAUACCGCAUACGAUCUACGGAUGAAAGCGGGGGAUCGCAAGACCUCGCGCGAUUGGAGCGGCCGAUAUCAGAUUAGGUAGUUGGUGGGGUAAAGGCUCACCAAGCCAACGAUCUGUAGCUGGUCUGAGAGGACGACCAGCCACACUGGAACUGAGACACGGUCCAGACUCCUACGGGAGGCAGCAGUGGGGAAUUUUGGACAAUGGACGCAAGUCUGAUCCAGCCAUUCCGCGUGCAGGAUGAAGGCCCUCGGGUUGUAAACUGCUUUUGUACGGAACGAAAAGGUUUCUAUUAAUACUAGGAGCUCAUGACGGUACCGUAAGAAUAAGCACCGGCUAACUACGUG